UGGGAGAGGUUCGUUCAAUACUGCCGGGCUAGAGGAUGAGAGAGGAAGGUUGGAAUUCCAGGGUGUAGUGGGUGGGAAUGCGUAGAUUAUCCCUGAGGAACACCAGUGGCGAAGGCGGCCUCCUGGCUCCAUUUCUGGACCGUAAGACGCGAAAGCUAGGGGUAGCCAAACGGGAUUAGAGACCCCCGGUAGUCCUAGCUGUUAAACGAUGUAGACUUGGCGUUGGUGGGGUAAAAUCCAUCCAGUGCUGUAGCUAACGCGAUAAGUCUACCGCCUGGGGACUACGAUCGCAAGAUUAAAACUCAAAGGAAUUGACGGGUCCCCGCACAAGCAGCGGAGCGUGUGGUUUAAUUCGAUGAUACGCGAAGAACCUUACCAGGGUUUGACAUGUAGGUGGUAGGGAUCCGAAAGGUGACCGACCCUUCGGGGAGCCUUCACAGGUGCUGCAUGGCUGUCGUCAGCUCGUGUCGUGAGAUGUUCGGUUAAGUCCGCUAACGAGCGCAACCCUCGUCGUGUGUUACAUGUGUCCACGCGAGACCGCCGGUUUCAAGCCGGAGGAAGGUGAGGAUGACGUCAAGUCAGCAUGGCCUUUAUAUCCUGGG
RNAcentral lists this ribosomal RNA (602 nucleotides) under uncultured bacterium. RNAcentral's name for it is "bacterial SSU rRNA". It matches the Rfam family "Bacterial small subunit ribosomal RNA", at positions 613 to 1213 of the family's 1533-position model. The record is from RNAcentral.